This 478-nucleotide ribosomal RNA is filed under the name uncultured bacterium. RNAcentral describes it as "partial 16S ribosomal RNA". It matches the Rfam family "Bacterial small subunit ribosomal RNA", at positions 28 to 523 of the family's 1533-position model. The record is from RNAcentral.
GACGAACGCUGGCGGCGUGCUUAACACAUGCAAGUCGAACGGUAAGGCCCUUCGGGGUACACGAGUGGCGAACGGGUGAGUAACACGUGGGUGAUCUGCCCUGCACUUCGGGAUAAGCCUGGGAAACUGGGUCUAAUACCGGAUAGGACCACUGCCUGCAUGGGUGGUGGUGGAAAGCUUUUGCGGUGUGGGAUGGGCCCGCGGCCUAUCAGCUUGUUGGUGGGGUGAUGGCCUACCAAGGCGACGACGGGUAGCCGGCCUGCGAGGGUGACCGGCCACACUGGGACUGAGAUACGGCCCAGACUCCGACGGGAGGCAGCAGUGGGGAAUAUUGCACAAUGGGCGCAAGCCUGAUGCAGCGACGCCGCGUGAGGGAUGACGGCCUUCGGGUUGUAAACCUCUUUCAGCUCCGACGAAGCGCAAGUGACGGUAGGUGCAGAAGAAGGACCGGCCAACUACGUGCCAGCAGCCGCAGUAA